CAAAUUAAACUCCAGCUUUAACAUAAUCGCACCUAUUCGAAUGUGCAAUUAUACAUGAGGACCUGGAAUCAAUUUUUACUCUAGUGUCGUUGCCGCUAUUAAUAAUUCAACUAAUUACUGGACAUAAUUACCAUAGGCUAAUUAACAUUCCAAUACCAACUAAUAGUCAAAAGAAGAUAGUUCGUAUUAACCUACAAGCAUUUCUAAUUAUACAACCAUAUGUCUAUUGCUUAAAUCAAUACCUGCUAAACAAUUAACAUCAACUAACAUCUAGAUAACUAACAUAUAAUUAAUGAUGGACAAUAGACAACACCCAAACGAGCAUGCAUCUGGUAAUCACUUUUCAUUUCAACUUCAAUUCAAAACUACAUUGGGAAGAAUCGAGCGAGUGUACCUGAAGUGAAUUAAACAGAAAAGGAGAAGUCAGCAAUUGUAACACUUUCCAGCAGUAGUUCAGGAAUGAGUUUAAAACCCAGCAGCAAUCAAUAAAUGAAUACAGCAGCCUAGAAAUGAUCAGGCACUCCAAAAACAAAUCGAAAUCAAGUAGGACAAGGCAAUCGACAACUUGAAUGACCCAAAGGAAUUUGAAACUGAGCCCAGAAGUUCCAGAAAAACCUUAGCACUUAGAAACACCCAAUAACAACUUGAGUAAACCCCAAACUACUUGCAAAUGCCUUAACUCUUGAACAUAUAACAAAAUCAUAGAAAUUCGAGCUGUUUCUGAUCCUAAGUGAUCAAUUUAACAGUAAUUUUUCUUUUGAUUUUUUUCUAUUGCUUUUCUGAAAAUUUGAGAAAACUAAGAUCUAGAUUUUGUUUUUGAAUUUAAAAUUCUCACUUAGCGCUCUUAACUUUCUCAAAUCUCAAUUCACGCCUUCUUUUUCAAUAUCUCUUAAUCCUCACAAAAAAAAUUCAAAACUGAAUCCUCUCUCCUUCUUUUUCAAUUUGUCUUUCUAUUCUGCUCUCUUAAACUCAAUACCCUGUGUGUAUUAUAUAUGUGUGUGUGUAGCAGAAUGUUCUCUCUUAGAAUGAAUUCUCUCCCUCUUUUUCAAUGUCCCCUUAAGUCUUAAGCUUAAACUCCUAUUUAUACAAUUGAGGAUCCCCUUUAUGGCAUAUUCUAUUCAUUUUUAGAUCUAUCCCUAAACUUUCCACGUUGUACACACUCUUGCACAUAUAUCCCUCAAUCUUUUUUACCAUUAUACCCAUGCUAUUCUAAUGUUCCACCCUUAAAGGUAUUGAAUUGAGUGUCAGCAUCCACUCAAACAAACCUUUUUUCAUUUUUUUAAUUCAUUCUUCUUUUCUUUACCUCAGUUCAAUAGUGUACCCCCUUAAUUUUUGUCAGCAACUCCAUUUUAUUACUUCUUAACUCCCUUAGUAGUCCUUAAACUAAACCUUAAUUCCCCUAAAAUAUACCCUUAGUCCUGGCUGGGUCCAAAUGACCUAAGAUCGGAAAACCUUAGGCAACCAAAACUCAAAAUUGGAUUUAAAGGUAAGCAUUUCCAAAUCCAAAUACAAUCAAGUCAAGUUCUGAACAAAAAAUGAAACAAGAAGAAGCUGAAUCAAUUUGUGCAACACUUUUACUGAUCCUAAUUAAUGUAAUCAAAUUCUUAAUGAAGUUUAAACUAACUUAUUAACAGAUUAUGGAUACUAAAAAAUUCUUUAAUUAGAAACUAAAAGAGUUCAAAAGAAGAGGGGAAGACACACAAAACAAAUAAUAGAAAAUAAAGAAAAAUUGACAAUAGAAUAUAGAAAAAUAAAUACCUAAGAUGGUUCAACAUCCACUCCGAAUAAACCUGAAGAGAAUCCUUCGAUUUCUUGACCAGAAUAACCUUUAAUCGCAUGUUUUCAUGUGAAAACAUACGAGUAAAGGCCAUUAUAGCCCAGAAUCUUCAAAAAAUCCAUUGGAUUUGGAUCUUGUGGAACAAGGUCUUUGUUUCUCUAAUUCAGGAUUCGAACAAUUUGAGGGGGAUUUGAUGGGAAAUAAUGGCGUAUUACGGAUGAGGGGGUCAUUGGGGUCUAGGGGUGUGACUUUGGAGUUUAUUGGGUAGGCUAGGUUUUUUUGUUGACUGAAGUUCGAUUGAAGAUUCGAAGCGUUUGGCUAUGAUUCGAAGAGAAGUGUUUGGAUAUUUGGAAUGAGGAGGUUCGGGGGAAGCUACAAUGUACUUUUGGGGGUCUUUGGGCCACCGGACCCGGCGUGAGGCAAUUUCUGGUGGGUGGAGUAGCGUGGUGAGAGGCGGAGAGAGAUGGGCUGGUCUCUGAAGGUUAGCGACAAGUGAGGGGGGUCUGAGGGGUGAGGUAUAAGAUUUUGGUAUAUUAAAAUGGCCGGU
RNAcentral lists this long non-coding RNA (2324 nucleotides) under Nicotiana benthamiana. RNAcentral describes it as "long non-coding RNA (NBEN_LNC042555)". Lineage: Eukaryota; Viridiplantae; Streptophyta; Magnoliopsida; Solanales; Solanaceae. The record is from RNAcentral.